GUCGGUAAAACUCGUGCCAGCCACCGCGGUUAUACGAAAGGCUCAAGUUGAUAAUCUUCGGCGUAAAGAGUGGUUAAAAGACAUCUUAAACUAAGGCUGAACCACCCCAAAGCUGUCAUACGCUACUGGGAGUGUGAAAUACAACCACGAAGGUGGCCUUAAAUAAUCUUGACCCCACGAAAGCUGUGAAACAAACUGGGAUUAGAUACCCCACUAUG
This 218-nucleotide ribosomal RNA is filed under the name Poeciliidae sp. RNAcentral describes it as "partial small subunit ribosomal RNA". It matches the Rfam family "Bacterial small subunit ribosomal RNA", at positions 492 to 794 of the family's 1533-position model. Lineage: Eukaryota; Metazoa; Chordata; Actinopteri; Cyprinodontiformes; Poeciliidae. The record is from RNAcentral.